RNAcentral lists this ribosomal RNA (413 nucleotides) under uncultured bacterium. RNAcentral describes it as "bacterial SSU rRNA". It matches the Rfam family "Bacterial small subunit ribosomal RNA", at positions 945 to 1359 of the family's 1533-position model. The record is from RNAcentral.
AUUAAUUCGAUGCAACGCGAAGAACCUUACCAAGGCUUGACAUACACCGGAAACGGCUAGAGAUAGUCGCCUCUUCGGACUGGUGUACAGGUGGUGCAUGGUUGUCGUCAGCUCGUGUCGUGAGAUGUUGGGUUAAGUCCCGCAACGAGCGCAACCCUCGUUCUAUGUUGCCAGCACGUAAUGGUGGGAACUCAUGGAAGACUGCCGGGGUCAACUCGGAGGAAGGUGGGGAUGACGUCAAAUCAUCAUGCCCUUUAUGUCUUGGGCUUCACGCAUGCUACAAUGGCCGGUACAGAGGGUGGCGAUACCGUGAGGUGGAGCGAAUCCCAGAAAGCCGGUCUCAGUUCGGAUCGUAGUCUGCAACUCGACUACGUGAAGUCGGAGUCGCUAGUAAUCGCAGAUCAGCAACGCUG